Molecule: unclassified non-coding RNA, 229 nt
Filed under: plant metagenome
Description: partial contains small subunit ribosomal RNA, internal transcribed spacer 1, and 5.8S ribosomal RNA
Source: RNAcentral
UCUCCGUAGGUGAACCUGCGGAGGGAUCAUUACAGAGUUCAUGCCCUACCGGGUAGAUCUCCCACCCUAUGUUAUUAUUACUUUGUUGCUUUGGCGGGCCGUUAGGCUCCGGCCCGACUACCGGCCCCGGCUGGUAAGCGCCCGCCAGAGGACCCCAAACCCUGAACGUUAGUGUCGUCUGAGUACUAUACAAUAGUUAAAACUUUCAACAACGGAUCUCUUGGUUCUG